Molecule: transfer RNA, 111 nt
Filed under: Nicotiana miersii
Lineage: Eukaryota; Viridiplantae; Streptophyta; Magnoliopsida; Solanales; Solanaceae
Description: partial transfer RNA-Phe(GAA)
Source: RNAcentral
AAUUCCCCGGCUUUGAUAAAAUUUUUAAUCUACUUUUGUCCCUUGUAAUUGACAUAGACCCCAGUUCUCUAAUAAAAUGAGGAUACUACAUUGGGAAUAGCCGGGAUAGCU